This 161-nucleotide ribosomal RNA is filed under the name Hordeum roshevitzii. RNAcentral's name for it is "5.8S ribosomal RNA". It matches the Rfam family "5.8S ribosomal RNA". Rfam says of the family: 5.8S ribosomal RNA (5.8S rRNA) is a component of the large subunit of the eukaryotic ribosome. Lineage: Eukaryota; Viridiplantae; Streptophyta; Magnoliopsida; Poales; Poaceae. The record is from RNAcentral.
ACGACUCUCGGCAACGGAUAUCUCGGCUCUCGCAUCGAUGAAGAACGUAGCGAAAUGCGAUACUUGGUGUGAAUUGCAGAAUCCCGCGAACCAUCGAGUCUUUGAACGCAAGUUGCGCCCGAGGCCACUCGGCCGAGGGCACGCCUGCCUGGGCGUCACGC